UUAGAGUUUGAUCAUGGCUCAGGACUAACGCUGGCGGCGUGCAUAACGCAUGCAAGUCGAGCGCUCAUUGGAUCUAUUGGUUUAGUGGGAGCGGCGGACGGGUGAGUAACACGUGAGCAACCUACCGUUUGGAGGGGGAUAACUCCCAGAAAUGGGAGCUAAUACCGCAUAAGCUUAGGUAAUCGAAGGGUUAUGUAAGUAAAGGUGAGUAGCGCCAAACGAGGGGCUUGCGGCCCAUCAGCUAGUAGGUGUGGUAGAGGCGCACCUAGGCGAUGACGGGUAGCUGUUCUGAGAGGAUGAUCAGCCACACUGGGACUGAGACACGGCCCAGACUCCUACGGGAGGCAGCAGCGAGGAAUUUUCCACAAUGGACCGAGAUAAGGUCUGAUGGAGCAACGCCGCGUGGAGGAGGAAGCACUUCGGUGUGUAAACUUCUUUUGGGUGGGAAGAUGAUGACGGUACCAUCCGAAUAAGCCCCGGCUAACUACGUGCCAGCAGCCGCGGUAAUACGUAGGGGGCGAGCGUUGUCCGGAAUUACUGGGCGUAAAGAGCGCGCAGGUGGUUUGAUAAGUCACUCGUGAAAGUUUUUGGCUUAACCAGGAAGGGUCGAGUGAUACUGUUGGACUUGAGGUUGGGAGAGGAGUGUGGAAUUCCCGGUGUAGUGGUGAAAUGCGUAGAUAUCGGGAGGAACACCAGUGGCGAAGGCGGCACUUUGGCCCACACCUGACGCUGAGGCGCGAAGGCUGGGGGAGCGAACGGGAUUAGAUACCCCGGUAGUCCCAGCAGUAAACGAUGGACACUAGGUGUCGUGGGUGUUGACCCCUGCGGUGCCCAAGCUAACGCAUUAAGUGUCCCGCCUGGGGAGUACGGCCGCAAGGCUAAAACUCAAAGGAAUUGACGGGGGCCCGCACAAGCAGCGGAGCGUGUGGUUUAAUUCGAUGCGACGCGAAGAACCUUACCAAGGCUUGACAUACAGCUGAAACUUUGUGGAAACAUUAGAGCCCUACCAGGUUCGCCUGGUAGCGGUUGUACAGGUGUUGCAUGGCUGUCGUCAGCUCGUGCCGUGGAGGUGUUGGGUUAAGUCCCGCAACGAGCGCAACCCUUGUUGCAAGUUAUAUUUUUCUUGCGAGACUGCCGGAAGAAGUCCGGAGGAAGGUGGGGACGACGUCAAGUCAGCAUGACCCUUACGUCUUGGGCUACACACACGCUACAAUGGCCGGUACAGAGGGCAGCGAGAGCGCGAGCUGGAGCCAAUCCCCCAAAGCCGGUCUCAGUUGGAAUCAGAGGCUGCAACUCGCCUCUGUGAACGCGGAGUUGCUAGUAACCGCAGGUCAGCAUUACUGCGGUGAAUACGUUCCCGGGCCUUGUACACACCGCCCGUCACGUCAUGAAAGCCGGUAACACCUGAAGCCGGUGGGCCAACCUCUUUGAGGGGGCAGCCGUCUAGGGUGGGAUUGGUGAUUGGGACGAAGUCGUAACAAGGGUAACCGUA
This 1492-nucleotide ribosomal RNA is filed under the name uncultured bacterium. RNAcentral describes it as "16S ribosomal RNA". It matches the Rfam family "Bacterial small subunit ribosomal RNA". The record is from RNAcentral.